Molecule: ribosomal RNA, 378 nt
Filed under: uncultured eukaryote
Lineage: Eukaryota
Description: partial 18S ribosomal RNA
Rfam family: Eukaryotic small subunit ribosomal RNA
Source: RNAcentral
CAAUAGCGUAUAUUAAAGUUGUUGCAGUUAAAAAGCUCGUAGUUGGAUUUCUGGUGGGAGCACGGGUCGGCCCUCACGGGUUGUACUGUUGUUGCGUCCUGCCGUUUCGGAGGGAAUGGUCUCGCUAUUAGGUUAGUGGGGUCGGGAACUCUGUCGUUUACUGUGAAAAAAUUAGAGUGUUCAAAGCAGGCCUUCGCUGUGAAUACAUUAGCAUGGAAUAAUAAGAUAGGACUAUGGUGCUAUUUUGUUGGUUUGCGUACUAUGGUAAUGAUUAAUAGGGAUAGUUGGGGGUAUUCAUAUUCAAUUGUCAGAGGUGAAAUUCUUGGAUUUAUGGAAGAUGAACUACUGCGAAAGCAUUUACCAAGGAUGUUUUCAUUA